Molecule: ribosomal RNA, 500 nt
Filed under: uncultured bacterium
Lineage: Bacteria
Description: partial 16S ribosomal RNA
Rfam family: Bacterial small subunit ribosomal RNA
Source: RNAcentral
AUUGAACGCUGGCGGCAUGCUUUACACAUGCAAGUCGAACGGUAACAGGGUGCUUGCACCGCUGACGAGUGGCGAACGGGUGAGUAAUGCGUCGGAACGUGCCGAGUAGUGGGGGAUAACGCAGCGAAAGUUGUGCUAAUACCGCAUACGUACUGAGGUAGAAAGUGGGGGACCUUCGGGCCUCACGCUAUUCGAGCGGCCGACGUCUGAUUAGCUAGUAGGUGAGGUAAAGGCUGCCCUAGGCGACGAGCCGUAGCGGGGCUGAGAGGAUGGUCCGCCACACUGGGAGUGGGACACGGCCCAGAAUCCUACGGGAGGGAGCAGUGGGGAAUUUUGGACAGUGGGCGAAAGCCUGAUCCAGCCAUGCCGCGUGUCUGAAGAAGGCCUUCGGGUUGUAAAGGACUUUUGUCAGGGAGGAAAUCCCUAGUGCUAAUAACACUGGGGGAUGACAGUACCUGAAGAAUAAGCACCGGCUAACUACGUGCCAGCAGCCGCCGUAA